Molecule: ribosomal RNA, 253 nt
Filed under: uncultured bacterium
Lineage: Bacteria
Description: partial 16S ribosomal RNA
Rfam family: Bacterial small subunit ribosomal RNA
Source: RNAcentral
UACGUAGGGUGCGAGCGUUAAUCGGAAUUACUGGGCGUAAAGCGUGCGCAGGCGGUUCGUUGUGUCGGCGGUGAAAGCCCUGGGCUCAACCCAGGAAGUGCACUCGAAACUGCGAGGCUAGAGUACUGGAGAGGUUGGUGGAAUUCUCGGUGUAGAGGUGAAAUUCGUAGAUAUCGAGAGGAACACCGGUGGCGAAGGCGGCCAACUGGACAGAUACUGACGCUGAGACUCGAAAGCGUGGGGAGCAAACAGG